GAGCCUGUAACCAAGUGGGGCAUUAAGGUGUUUGGACGUUGGCUGGACCAUCCAAGUUGGGCCUGGUGGGUGCGAUACCGGCCCGCCCAAUCCAAGUAAUGAGUGAUCCACGUGGUCCGGGCGAAGGCCUGGAUCACUUGGAUGCUAAAGUGGAGGGAACCGCGUGAGGCUGGUUUCACAGAGCAGCGACGACCUCCCGCUCUUGUCAGUGGAUGGAUAACGGGUCGGUUC
Molecule: signal recognition particle RNA, 231 nt
Filed under: Thalassionema nitzschioides
Lineage: Eukaryota; Bacillariophyta; Fragilariophyceae; Thalassionematales; Thalassionemataceae
Description: partial Plant signal recognition particle RNA
Rfam family: Plant signal recognition particle RNA
Source: RNAcentral